RNAcentral lists this ribosomal RNA (774 nucleotides) under Choerophryne sp. SJR12109. RNAcentral's name for it is "partial 12S ribosomal RNA". The stretch from base 1 to 518 matches the Rfam family "Bacterial small subunit ribosomal RNA", at positions 779 to 1533 of the family's 1533-position model. The record is from RNAcentral. Lineage: Eukaryota; Metazoa; Chordata; Amphibia; Anura; Microhylidae.
UAGAUACCCCACUAUGCUUAGCCGUAAAAUAUUAACCCACACUCAGCCCGCCAGGGGAUUACAAGCCCAAGCUUAAAACCCAAAGGACUUGACGGUGUCCCAUCCCUCUAGAGGAGCCUGUUCUAUAAUCGAUUCUCCCCGAUAUACCUCACCGUUUCUUGAAUAUCCAGCCUGUAUACCUCCGUCGCAAGCUUACCAUGUGAACGUACACAGUGAGCCUAAAGACCCACCGUCCACACGUCAGGUCAAGGUGCAGCCCACGGAACGGAAAGAAAUGGGCUACAAUCUCUACCCUAGAACAAACGAAAGACUGCAUGAAACACAGUCAUUGAAGGCGGAUUUAGUAGUAAAAAGAAAAUAGAGAGUUCUUUUUAACUGGGCGCUGGGACGCGUACACACCGCCCGUCACCCUCUUCAAACAGAAGUCUUAAAAAGUCACUAACAUCAUAUAAUUUAAUAGAAGAGGCAAGUCGUAACAUGGUAAGUGUACUGGAAAGUGCACUUGGAAUAACAAAAUGUAACUUAAUAAAAGUAUCCUGCUUACACCAAGACUAUGUCUGUGAAACCCAGACCAUUUUGAGCCUAAACCUCAGCCCUAUUAACCCUUCUCCAUAAAUUUUCUACCUUUUUUCCCCCCCCCAAAAACAUUUUUCUGACUAAGUAAAGGCGAUUAAAAAGUUUCUAGGAGCCCUAACACCAGUACCGCAAGGGAAAGGUGAAAUAAAAAUGAAAUAAAUUUAAAGCAUUAUAAAGUAAAGAUCCCCCCUUGUACCU